GUAACAGGAAGCAGCUUGCUGCUUCGCUGACGAGUGGCGGACGGGUGAGUAAUGUCUGGGAAACUGCCUGAUGGAGGGGGAUAACUACUGGAAACGGUAGCUAAUACCGCAUAACGUCGCAAGACCAAAGAGGGGGACCUUCGGGCCUCUUGCCAUCGGAUGUGCCCAGAUGGGAUUAGCUAGUAGGUGGGGUAACGGCUCACCUAGGCGACGAUCCCUAGCUGGUCUGAGAGGAUGACCAGCCACACUGGAACUGAGACACGGUCCAGACUCCUACGGGAGGCAGCAGUGGGGAAUAUUGCACAAUGGGCGCAAGCCUGAUGCAGCCAUGCCGCGUGUAUGAAGAAGGCCUUCGGGUUGUAAAGUACUUUCAGCGGGGAGGAAGGGAGUAAAGUUAAUACCUUUGCUCAUUGACGUUACCCGCAGAAGAAGCACCGGCUAACUCCGUGCCAGCAGCCGCGGUAAUACGGAGGGUGCAAGCGUUAAUCGGAAUUACUGGGCGUAAAGCGCACGCAGGCGGUUUGUUAAGUCAGAUGUGAAAUCCCCGGGCUCAACCUGGGAACUGCAUCUGAUACUGGCAAGCUUGAGUCUCGUAGAGGGGGGUAGAAUUCCAGGUGUAGCGGUGAAAUGCGUAGAGAUCUGGAGGAAUACCGGUGGCGAAGGCGGCCCCCUGGA
This 675-nucleotide ribosomal RNA is filed under the name Enterobacteriaceae bacterium HGPR47. RNAcentral's name for it is "bacterial SSU rRNA". It matches the Rfam family "Bacterial small subunit ribosomal RNA", at positions 69 to 733 of the family's 1533-position model. Lineage: Bacteria; Pseudomonadati; Pseudomonadota; Gammaproteobacteria; Enterobacterales; Enterobacteriaceae. The record is from RNAcentral.